AUUGAACGCUGGCGGCAGGCCUAACACAUGCAAGUCGAGCGGUAGAGAGAAGCUUGCUUCUCUUGAGAGCGGCGGACGGGUGAGUAAUGCCUAGGAAUCUGCCUGGUAGUGGGGGAUAACGUUCGGAAACGGACGCUAAUACCGCAUACGUCCUACGGGAGAAAGCAGGGGACCUUCGGGCCUUGCGCUAUCAGAUGAGCCUAGGUCGGAUUAGCUAGUUGGUGAGGUAAUGGCUCACCAAGGCGACGAUCCGUAACUGGUCUGAGAGGAUGAUCAGUCACACUGGAACUGAGACACGGUCCAGACUCCUACGGGAGGCAGCAGUGGGGAAUAUUGGACAAUGGGCGAAAGCCUGAUCCAGCCAUGCCGCGUGUGUGAAGAAGGUCUUCGGAUUGUAAAGCACUUUAAGUUGGGAGGAAGGGCAGUUACCUAAUACGUGAUUGUUUUGACGUUACCGACAGAAUAAGCACCGGCUAACUCUGUGCCAGCAGCCGCGGUAAUACAGAGGGUGCAAGCGUUAAUCGGAAUUACUGGGCGUAAAGCGCGCGUAGGUGGUUAGUUAAGUUGGAUGUGAAAUCCCCGGGCUCAACCUGGGAACUGCAUUCAAAACUGACUGACUAGAGUAUGGUAGAGGGUGGUGGAAUUUCCUGUGUAGCGGUGAAAUGCGUAGAUAUAGGAAGGAACCACCCCAGUGGCGAAGGCGACCCCCCUGGACUGAUACU
Molecule: ribosomal RNA, 722 nt
Filed under: Pseudomonas sp.
Lineage: Bacteria; Pseudomonadati; Pseudomonadota; Gammaproteobacteria; Pseudomonadales; Pseudomonadaceae
Description: bacterial SSU rRNA
Rfam family: Bacterial small subunit ribosomal RNA
Source: RNAcentral